This is a long non-coding RNA of Dermochelys coriacea (leatherback sea turtle), 249 nucleotides long. RefSeq lists it as uncharacterized. The record is from RefSeq and is a predicted model, not a curated record. Lineage: Eukaryota; Metazoa; Chordata; Testudines; Dermochelyidae. The transcript is spliced from 4 exons.
GCAGAAAAUGUGCUGUGAAAUGUUGAGCUAUAGCCCCUUCUUGAUCUGCAGGAGCAUGGUUGAGGGCAUGCACAAUAAAGGUGCAAUCUAUUCAACAGGAGUCUGAUCUGAGUAACAACUGAGGACUGGAUGAUCCCCUAAACUUGCGUGGAAAUGCUGAACCCUCCGUCAUUCAGCACACAGGAUGGAUGCACAGUGCUGCUGCCUCUGCACAUAAUUUAUGAAUAUGAAGCAGUUAUUAUACAAGGC